AUGAGCGCGAAGCAGCUCUGCGACGCCUUGGCCGCCGCGGGGUUCGACAGCGGAGAUCCGCUCGACCCGGAGAGCCUCGACUGGGCGUUCCUCCAGGGAGACGACUCCAGCCGCGUGCUCGCGUGGAUCGCCGCCCGCCUACGCCGCGCCAACGUCCUCUCCGCCUCCGACCUCGAACUCUAUGAUCAGCUUGAACUAGAAGGGAAGCUUUUGGAGGGGAAGGACUUGGAUUCCGCUUUCGACAGUAUUUCGGUGUUCUCAGAAAUUGGAGAGAACCAUGAAUACACAUUCCUGUCGGAAGAAAGUCUGGGAGACAUCCGCGACUCAAAACUAGCACUUAGAGCUGAAGUUUCUGAUUUGGAAAAAAAACUCGCUUCUAUGGAAUGGCAGCUUGAUUUGCUUACAGCACAAGCUACCACCAUCACGCAGGGAAAGAAAUCCCGCACAUCUGCUAAAACUAGCGCAACUGGAAAACUUGCGAGAUUUGAUGAGGAACUUGCCGAGAGAAGUUUAGAGAUGAAUGCAGUACUUGGAAAACUUGUUGCUACGAUCCAGGAGUUGUCUUACUAUCAUUCAGAAGCUGAUAUUGGCGUCUACCUGUCAUACUGUGAUUUCCAAUCAUAUGUAAUCAGUAACCUGGCUUGUACCAAAGAACUUAACACAUGGUUCACUAAGAAGUUUGAGAAGGGAGCUCUCCGGUUUGUUGCCAAAGAAGACAUGCCAAGGGGAGAUUCUAAAAAGCCUCAUCAUUUUGUCGUCGAACUAAAGCGAAUUAAUUCAGUAUUUGCUAAAAGUAAAAAACAGUACAUCGAAGCACAAAUGGAACAUGCUAAUGAGGAGGCUACACUUUCAAAGCUGAGAGCUCAGUUGGCAUCCCAACACUCAUAUAUUCAUGAAGACAUCCAUUCUCUAAGGAGGAGAAAUUCUGAACUUACAGAAGAGCUGAAGGUUCUCUCCCUUCAAGUGCAGGAAUGCCUAUCUGAGACUGUCGCAAGCUUGUGUUCUGACCUGGCUCGACUUGAGGGUGCAAAUAUUCUGCAAGGGGAUCAUAACUUGAUUGUUCAUCGCCAGGAAUGCUACAUAAGCCAGCAAAAAAGGUUCAUCAAUCAUUUGGUGAAUCAGCUUGCUGCUCAUCGGUUUCUGGCGAUAGCCUGCCAGCUUGAAAGACGGACAAAAAUUUCGAGUGCCUAUUCAUUGUUGAAAGCUACAGAAAUGGAGCUGCAGAGCUACGUAUUAGCUGUCAAUAGUCGCCUGGUAUUGGACCAAUAUCAUCUAAUUGGCGAAGCCGCGUCUAGCAUGAUCGAAGAAGGGUCUAUUGAUGACCGGGAUACUUUUCUCCAUGCUGUGAGGGAUAUUCUUAGCAGUUACUCAGGUUCUCAAACAAUGACACCCACAUAUGUUUCAGCAUGUGCUUUGGUUGAGCAGAUAUCUGAGCUGGAGGAUGAGCUCCACUGUUAUCAGCAUGAGCUUGAAAAUGUUCUUCCACGUGAACGGGGAAGGUUUAUCGAUGAACAAUGCAGGAUGGUCCAAACACUCGAACAGAUUUUAUCUGUACCCGUUACACAUAUGCUACCAAAAUUUACACCAUGGCCACUGGCGCAAGCACUUGAAGAAUUGGAAAUGAUCAGCUAUGAAGUCUCUGCUUCUGUUAAUGAAGUAACGAUGGCUCGAGAGGAAAAGACCAAGAUGUUACAGCAGCCUUCACGCAAUGCGCAGCAGGAAAGACGAUUAUUCGCCGAUUUCUUCUGCCAUCCAGGACGGCUUGAGAAUCAAGUCAGAGAGCUGACUUCUCGUGUUAGAGGAAUCCCGGAGUAA
RNAcentral lists this ribosomal RNA (1815 nucleotides) under Triticum aestivum (bread wheat). Its description in RNAcentral is "partial small subunit ribosomal RNA". Lineage: Eukaryota; Viridiplantae; Streptophyta; Magnoliopsida; Poales; Poaceae. The record is from RNAcentral.